UCCUCCUCUCCUCUUCGACAACUAUGAUGUCCAACUCGACCUCUGCCUCCAAUCCAACUCCAAGAAUCAUUGGAUUGACGACGGCGACUCGACAACAACCUCAUUUCCUUGGCCAACCCUACUUAUCUUCUUCAUGCCAGUUCCCAAAUAUCACUCCCUUCCCUUUACUCUUCACAAAUCACAAAAACAAGAAGUUACCCAUUUUCAACCCUAAAGGCCUAAUUUAUUGCCCUUUUUCAGUGUUUGUUACCUCUCUUUUUUGUGCGGAUCGUCAAUUUAUUGUCUGUCCUCUUCGAUUUGAUCAUGGUAUAUUUAUUAUGUAAUUAAUUUUUUCUUGUCAAGAUUCAUGACUAAGUAAACUCCUUGAAAAAUUACAACUUCUCUUACUUAGCCUGUGUAUGUGGUUUUAUUUCAGGUAGAUUGAUGUUAAGAAGGGCCUUUGACUACAUUUAUCUCAAUCAGAGUGUUGUUGUCUUGCUGAUGAAGGUUUGACUCAUUUUUCCUUUGGUUGUGCUUUCCAACUCUUGUGUUUCUUCUAUUUUAUUACUAUUGACAAAUAAAAAUAUAUAUUAAUUAGCAAAGAUGUUAUAUGUCAGUUGUCGUGUUGCUAAUGAUAUAUUUGAUGAACUGCCAAAUCCCAAAUGGAGCCAUAACAUUAUUACAUAAAUCAUACGUAGUAGUCCAGUAACCAGAUUUUGUUUUCCUUUACUUGUGCUCAUGUUCAAUCGUAUAUUAUUUGAAGACCUUAUGCACUUGGUUGGUGCCAUAAAUAUUUUAGGUUUGUUGUUUUUGUGAGAUAUGUCAGUAGUGAGGUGAACAAUAUCAACUGGAAUGAAUUUUGUCUAUGGUUUGGUUUGGUUUCCACUUUUUGAUUUUGGUUUCCACUUUGGGUAUUAUAUUGGUGGUUGCUGCCAAAUUUUUAUUUCAGGCUUGUGAAUUGUGACAGCAGAAUUCUCAACGGCAUGAUUCCAUCAUUUUUGUCGAAAUUAUACUUUUCAGGUAAGUAAUGGCUUGCCCUAACUUGUUAUUAAAUAUAUUGGAAAUAUUUAAAGGUUUGUCGGCUUAUAUGAUUGGUUAUUGUAGGAUCAAUUGCACAAGCGCACAUAGUAACUAUAUUGAAAACUUUUAAUUGUGAAAUGAUUGAAAUAUUUUGUGAAAAAAAGUUUCUCCAAUUGAAGUUGAUCAAGACUUACCUUUGAACAACUAUAUCACAAGAAAAAUUGAACGGAUUAGCUAUGUUAUUAAUAGAUAAAGAAAUAGUUGAAUAACUAAAUUAUUCAGAUUUGAUUAAUGUUUUUACCUCUAAAACAGC
RNAcentral lists this long non-coding RNA (1312 nucleotides) under Olea europaea subsp. europaea. The record is from RNAcentral. Lineage: Eukaryota; Viridiplantae; Streptophyta; Magnoliopsida; Lamiales; Oleaceae.